RNAcentral lists this ribosomal RNA (259 nucleotides) under Vibrio parahaemolyticus. Its description in RNAcentral is "partial 16S ribosomal RNA". It matches the Rfam family "Bacterial small subunit ribosomal RNA", at positions 1 to 246 of the family's 1533-position model. Lineage: Bacteria; Pseudomonadati; Pseudomonadota; Gammaproteobacteria; Vibrionales; Vibrionaceae. The record is from RNAcentral.
AAAUUGAAGAGUUUGAUCAUGGCUCAGAUUGAACGCUGGCGGCAGGCCUUACACAUGCAAGUCGAGCGGAAACGAGUUAUCUGAACCUUCGGGGGACGAUAGCGGCGUCGAGCGGCGGACGGGUGAGUAAUACCUAGGAAAUUGCCCUGAUGUGGGGGAUAACCAUUGGAAACGAUGGCUAAUACCGCAUGAUGCCUACGGGCCAAAGAGGGGGACCUUCGGGCCUCUCGCGUCAGGAUAUGCCUAGGUGGGAUUAGCU